GUUUUUUUGAAUUUUUUUCCCGAUUAAUUAUAGAUUUGAAGCAAAUCAACAAUCAAUCUCGUAAGGAUAAACGCUAGGCCAUUUCAUCUUGGAUUGUUUUAGGACUCCUGGCUGAUUGUGGCUAAGAUAUAGACUAGUACUGCAUUGUAUUCAACACUUAUUGCUCCAGAUUUCUAGGACUGUUCACCAAUGAAAAUUAAUACUGCUCGUGAAGGUUUAUCAUUAAUUGCACUCUAGAGUGGCACAAGGAUCCUGUAGUUUUUCAUUCAAUAGUACUUACAACAUUGCAAGAAUCAGAAGAACCACUAGAAGAGACUUGGGUAUAUUUCUUG
Molecule: unclassified non-coding RNA, 332 nt
Filed under: Hevea brasiliensis (rubber tree)
Lineage: Eukaryota; Viridiplantae; Streptophyta; Magnoliopsida; Malpighiales; Euphorbiaceae
Source: RNAcentral